GUGCCCAUAGCUCAAUUGGACAGAGUGUCUGACUACGAAUCAGGAGGUUUGGGGUUCGACUCCUCAUGGGCACACCA
RNAcentral lists this transfer RNA (77 nucleotides) under Rickettsiales bacterium. RNAcentral describes it as "tRNA-Arg". It matches the Rfam family "tRNA". From Rfam's summary of the family: Transfer RNA (tRNA) molecules are approximately 80 nucleotides in length. Their secondary structure includes four short double-helical elements and three loops (D, anti-codon, and T loops). The record is from RNAcentral. Lineage: Bacteria; Pseudomonadati; Pseudomonadota; Alphaproteobacteria; Rickettsiales.